AUUCAAUUCAUUUUCACUCCAAGAAAGUGCUAAGGCAAAAAAGUGCUCUCACUCUCUUCUCCCCUCUCCAUUUUCGUCCCUCCACAUCUCCCCCACUCCCAAGACUCUUCUCCCACCAUUAUCACACUCCAUAGAAGCCCUUGAAGCCCCAAGAGGAGUAUCAAAGCAAGGGAGAGCAUGGGAAAACUAGGGCGUAAAGUUAGAGUGAAGGUUGUGCUUCGAGGGAAUUGGUUCACAGGACGGUACCACCGCUUAAGAUCACCUCUCUUCCACACUGAGGAUCAGGUUGAGCAGUGGCUGAUGGAGAUGAAGUGAAGAGCGGAGCUUUUGUCAUAAGUUAAAUGAAUGAACUCUUGAAUACAUGUCUUCAUACAUGUAAUCAGAUUAUGUUAUUCCGCUGCGUACUCUUAGGUUUUAUGUUCUUUCAGUUAAGCCAGUUUUAUUUAUGAACCUACAAGGCUGUUCGAGUCUUGUGACUAAACAUCAGGUGUAUUAUAAAUUUUCCCUUCUUUAAACAAAUUUUAGUUCGAUCC
Long non-coding RNA from Salvia miltiorrhiza (redroot sage), 533 nucleotides. RefSeq lists it as uncharacterized. Lineage: Eukaryota; Viridiplantae; Streptophyta; Magnoliopsida; Lamiales; Lamiaceae. The record is from RefSeq and is a predicted model, not a curated record. The transcript is spliced from 3 exons.